UUUCAAAGAUAAUAAACUUCUCCAGCAAAUACAUGAACAACUCUAUUCAAAUAGAGGCUCCUAUGCUAAAACUAUUAAUACGAGAAACCACUCUACGUGCGCAUUCAUCACUCAAGCAGUACCGACAAUUAACAGACCUAAAAAGGAUAAGUACAAUUUAAUAAACAUACCCUUUAAAUACUGUGAAUCCAACUAAGGUGCGCUACAUAGUAUAAUUAAAAGUUACAAAAGGAACUCGGCAAACACAGAUUCCAACUGUUUACCAAAAACAUAGCCUUUAGCCAAACAAGUAUUGAAGGUAAUGCCUGCCCAGUGAAAUCACUUUAAACGGCCGCGGUACCCUAACCGUGCAAAGGUAGCGUAAUCA
RNAcentral lists this ribosomal RNA (367 nucleotides) under Antillotyphlops guadeloupensis (Guadeloupe worm snake). RNAcentral's name for it is "partial 16S ribosomal RNA". The stretch from base 253 to 367 matches the Rfam family "Bacterial large subunit ribosomal RNA", at positions 1797 to 1967 of the family's 2925-position model. Lineage: Eukaryota; Metazoa; Chordata; Lepidosauria; Squamata; Typhlopidae. The record is from RNAcentral.